RNAcentral lists this ribosomal RNA (500 nucleotides) under uncultured Glomeromycotina. RNAcentral describes it as "partial small subunit ribosomal RNA". It matches the Rfam family "Eukaryotic small subunit ribosomal RNA", at positions 591 to 1092 of the family's 1831-position model. Lineage: Eukaryota; Fungi; Glomeromycota. The record is from RNAcentral.
CCAAUAGCGUAUAUUAAAGUUGUUGCAGUUAAAAAGCUCGUAGUUGAAUUUCGGGGUUAGUAGGUCGGUCAUGCCUCAGGUAUGCACUGGUCUCACUGAUUCCUCCUUCCUGAUGAGCCGUAAUGCCAUUAAUUUGGUGUUGCGGGGAAUCUGGACUGUUACUUUGAAAAAAUUAGAGUGUUUAGAGCAGGCUAACGCUUGAAUACAUUAGCAUGGAAUAAUGGAAUAGGACGUUCGAUCCUAUUUUGUUGGUUUCUAGGAUUGACGUAAUGAUUAAUAGGGAUAGUUGGGGGCAUUAGUAUUCAAUUGUCAGAGGUGAAAUUCUUGGAUUUAUUGAAGACUAACUACUGCGAAAGCAUUUGCCAAGGAUGUUUUCAUUAAUCAAGAACGAAAGUUAGGGGAUCGAAGACGAUCAGAUACCGUCGUAGUCUUAACCAUAAACUAUGCCGACUAGGGAUCGGAUGAUGUUAAUUUUUUAAUGACUCAUUCGGCGCCUUACG